GACGGACUGAAGGCUCUUCUCGAUCCGUGGAAAGUGGUGCAUGGCCGUUUUGGUUGGUGGAUCGAUCCGUCUGGUUAAUUCCGUUAACGAACGAGACCUCGGCACUCCGAAUAGCGCGGCGGACGUCGCGGCCUCCGGGCCGUCUUCCGCACGAGCUUCUUAGAGGGACCGUCCCCCGCCGGGGAAGGAGGUGCGAGGCAACGACAGGUCUGUGAUGCCCUUAGAUGUUCUGGGCCGCACGCGCAUUACACUGACGCGUCCAACGGGUGACUCCCGACCCGAAGGGGCCGGGGAAUCCGCAAGGCGCGUCGUGAUGGGGAUUGAACGUUGCAAUUGUUGUUCACGAACGAGGAAUUCCUAGUAGGCGCGGGUCAUCAACCCCGCGCCGAUUACGUCCCUGCCCUUUGUACACACCGCCCGUC
This 422-nucleotide ribosomal RNA is filed under the name uncultured eukaryote. RNAcentral describes it as "bacterial SSU rRNA". It matches the Rfam family "Eukaryotic small subunit ribosomal RNA", at positions 1242 to 1677 of the family's 1831-position model. The record is from RNAcentral.